This 363-nucleotide transfer-messenger RNA is filed under the name Escherichia coli. RNAcentral's name for it is "Standard tmRNA". It matches the Rfam family "transfer-messenger RNA". From Rfam's summary of the family: Bacterial tmRNA, also known as 10Sa RNA or SsrA, is named for its dual tRNA and mRNA-like properties. Its role is to liberate the mRNA from a stalled ribosome. The record is from RNAcentral. Lineage: Bacteria; Pseudomonadati; Pseudomonadota; Gammaproteobacteria; Enterobacterales; Enterobacteriaceae.
GGGGCUGAUUCUGGAUUCGACGGGAUUUGCGAAACCCAAGGUGCAUGCCGAGGGGCGGUUGGCCUCGUAAAAAGCCGCAAAAAAUAGUCGCAAACGACGAAAACUACGCUUUAGCAGCUUAAUAAUCUGCUUAGAGCCCUCUCUCCCUAGCCUCCGCUCUUAGGACGGGGAUCAAGAGGGGUCAAACCCAAAAGAGAUCGCGUGGAAGCCCUGCCUGGGGUUGAAGCGUUAAAACUUAAUCAGGCUAGUUUGUUAGUGGCGUGUCCGUCCGCAGCUGGCAAGCGAAUGUAAAGACUGACUAAGCAUGUAGUACCGAGGAUGUAGGAAUUUCGGACGCGGGUUCAACUCCCGCCAGCUCCACCA